RNAcentral lists this long non-coding RNA (1254 nucleotides) under Pan troglodytes (chimpanzee). RNAcentral describes it as "long non-coding RNA NONPTRT012344". The record is from RNAcentral. Lineage: Eukaryota; Metazoa; Chordata; Mammalia; Primates; Hominidae.
AGGCCCUCUGCCUCUCCCCUGUGAACCACGAAGCACAUCGACGGGGUGCUUAGUGCCCCGCCUCAGUCAGGGCUCAUGGGGGAGGCCCUUCUUUAACGUCUCUUACUGGGCACACCCAGAGGCCACGUGUUCCAGGGUCAGAGAGACCAGGAGAAAUCCCAGCUUCUUCAAUCACGGCUGUGCAUCUUCAAGAAGGUGACUGUGCCUCUCUGAGCCUCAGCCUCCUCUGUCUGACAGCAUAGGGGUCUGCAAGUCUCUAGAGGUCAUGUGAGCUCCAUGGGAACCUCUCAUCUAUACCGUGGAAGCAGCUGCGGGAAGUGCACGUGAGCUCUGUGGCCUCAUGCCGACCAAGACCCUGGGGGUCACACCAGGCAUAGCUGAGAAGCAGAGCAGAGGCCACUGCGGUGACCAGGGUUACUCCCGAGACUCAGAGCAGAGGCCACUGCAGUGACCAGGGUUGCUGCCUGCCUACCACACACCCCACUUGGGCCUCUGGCUGUCUCCUCUCCUGCAGAAACCCCAUGGGCAGGUGUGCAGCCAGCAUGGAGGGAAGACGUGUGUGCCAGCAGAGAGAGCACGAGGCCUGGAGUUCUCAUCUGUGCCACCAGAAGCAGGGGACAGUGAAACAUCAUCCAUGACCACUAGGGAGACGGCUCCAUCCCAGGCAUCACAAACCAGCCCAGAAGUGUCACCGCCUUCCAGGCAUCUUUCCUGGCUGCGGGGUUCUACUGGGUGCAGAAAUGCCCACGUCCCCCUGGCAGGAGGGGCCGGGGCCGGGGCAGGAGAGGAGAGGCCAUGUUUUCCAAGACCGGAGCUGGCAGGAACAGUGUCUCCAGGUGACAAAAGCCUCCGACAAUUUGGCGAGAAAGGUGGGGGUGGGCAUGAGAGGAUGCAGGGCCCCCACCACUCAAGCAAGGAGAGCGGGGGGCAGAGCCACAGAGAAGACCCAGUCUGGAGCCGCUCCCCCCAGCCUGAAGCCCAGCCUCCAGGUUCCAUGAAAUCACCUCCAGUUAUUCCAGGAGAAACGGCGCACGGCCUAGGAAAGAAAGAACAGGCAGCUUGGACCCAGGCUCCAAUCCCGGCUGCUAGUUACCAGACAGGCAGCCACAUCGCGUCUGUGUGCCUCAGUUUCUACACCUGCGGCUAGGUUGAUGGUUGUGCCCGCCCGGUGGGGCUGCUGUGAGUUAAGGGGUGAGAAACGCUUCCCUGUCCACUGUCUCUGACGCGUUCUUCCUGGGUCACCCCUCACUCAAC